RNAcentral lists this ribosomal RNA (1067 nucleotides) under Starmerella apicola. Its description in RNAcentral is "SSU rRNA". It matches the Rfam family "Eukaryotic small subunit ribosomal RNA", at positions 4 to 1116 of the family's 1831-position model. Lineage: Eukaryota; Fungi; Ascomycota; Dipodascomycetes; Dipodascales; Trichomonascaceae. The record is from RNAcentral.
UCUGGUUGAUCCUGCCAGUAAUAUAUGCUUGUAUCAAAGAUUAAGCCAUGCAUGUCUAAGUAUAAGCAACUAUACAGUGAAACUGCGAAUGGCUCAUUAAAUCAGUUAUCGUUUAUUUGAUAGUACUACUACAUGGAUAACCGUGGUAAUUCUAGAGCUAAUACAUGCACAAACCUCUCCGGAGGUGUAUUUAUUAGAUAAAAACCAACCUUGUCUUGGUGAUUCAUAAUAACUUUUCGAAGCGCACGCCUAGUGCAGGCGCUGGUUCAUUCAAAUUUCUGCCCUAUCAACUUUCGAUGGUACGGUAGUGGCCUACCAUGGUAGCAACGGGUAACGGGGAAUUAGGGUUCGAUUCCGGAGAGGGAGCCUGAGAAACGGCUACCACAUCCAAGGAAGGCAGCAGGCGCGCAAAUUACCCAAUCCUGACACAGGGAGGUAGUGACAAUAAAUAACGAUACAGGGCCUAUGGUCUUGUAAUCGGAAUGAGAACAAUUUAAACCACUUAUCGAGGAACAAUUGGAGGGCAAGUCUGGUGCCAGCAGCCGCGGUAAUUCCAGCUCCAAUAGCGUAUGUUAAAGUUGUUGCAGUUAAAAAGCUCGUAGUUGAACCUCGCCGCCGGCUCCGGGUCCCCCUCACGGGGUGUACUCGUCGCUUGCGGCUUUGCUCUACUAGUGUGUGCGUUCGCGUGCACUCAUAGUGGAGCGUUUACUGUGAGAAAAUUAGAGUGUUCAAAGCAGGCGUUUCGCUCGAAUACGUUAGCAUGGAAUAAUAGAAUAGGACGAAGGUUCUAUUUUGUUGGUUCUAGGACCGUCGUAAUGAUUAAUAGGGAUGGUCGGGGGCAUCAGUAUUCAGUAGUAAGAGGUGAAAUUCUUGGAUUUACUGAAGACUAACUGCUGCGAAAGCGUUUGCCAAGGACAUCUUCAUUAAUCAAGAACGAAAGUUAGGGGAUCGAAGACGCUUAGAUACCGUCGUAGUCUUAACCGUAAACUAUGCCGACUCUGAAUCGGCCCCUUGAAUUUGAUGGGGGGUCGGCGCAGUGUGAGAAAUCAAAGUUUUUAGGUUCUGGG